RNAcentral lists this transfer RNA (67 nucleotides) under Cricetulus griseus (Chinese hamster). It matches the Rfam family "tRNA". From Rfam's summary of the family: Transfer RNA (tRNA) molecules are approximately 80 nucleotides in length. Their secondary structure includes four short double-helical elements and three loops (D, anti-codon, and T loops). Further hydrogen bonds mediate the characteristic L-shaped molecular structure. tRNAs have two regions of fundamental functional importance: the anti-codon, which is responsible for specific mRNA codon recognition, and the 3' end, to which the tRNAs corresponding amino acid is attached (by aminoacyl-tRNA synthetases). tRNAs cope with the degeneracy of the genetic code in two manners: having more than one tRNA (with a specific anti-codon) for a particular amino acid; and 'wobble' base-pairing, i.e. permitting non-standard base-pairing at the 3rd anti-codon position. The record is from Rfam by way of RNAcentral. Lineage: Eukaryota; Metazoa; Chordata; Mammalia; Rodentia; Cricetidae.
GGAUGGCUUAGUGGUUAAGAGCACUGGCUGUUCUUUCAACAGACCUGGGUUCAAUUCCCAGCAUCCA